Molecule: ribosomal RNA, 510 nt
Filed under: uncultured soil bacterium
Lineage: Bacteria
Description: bacterial SSU rRNA
Rfam family: Bacterial small subunit ribosomal RNA
Source: RNAcentral
AGAUUGAACGCUGGCGGCAGGCCUAACACAUGCAAGUCGAGCGGUAGAGAGGUGCUUGCACCUCUUGAGAGCGGCGGACGGGUGAGUAAAGCCUAGGAAUCUGCCUGGUAGUGGGGGAUAACGCUCGGAAACGGACGCUAAUACCGCAUACGUCCUACGGGAGAAAGCAGGGGACCUUCGGGCCUUGCGCUAUCAGAUGAGCCUAGGUCGGAUUAGCUAGUUGGUGAGGUAAUGGCUCACCAAGGCGACGAUCCGUAACUGGUCUGAGAGGAUGAUCAGUCACACUGGAACUGAGACACGGUCCAGACUCCACGGGAGCAGCAGUGGGGAAUAUGGACAAUGGGACGAAAGCCUGAUCCAGCCAUGCCGCGUGUGUGAAGAAGUCUUCGGAUUGUAAAAGCUAACGUUUAAAGGUUGGGAAGGAAGGGUACAAGUUUAAACCUAAAGUAACGUUUAGUUAGUUUUUAGACGUUUAACCGAACAGAAAUAAACGCACCGGCUAAACUCUGU